CCUCAGAAACAAGUCUACCUCGAGGACCAGUCUCUACUUGAGGCCUAUGGAGCCUGGUUUGUGAAAUCACGUUGAUGCUGGUGUGCAAGAACCUUGAGACUGCACUAAUUAAGUCUACUCUGGAGCCAGCCCUGUGUGCUCUUUAUCUUUGACUUCAGCAAUUGCUAAAUCAAGGUCCUCUUUGGAUUCCAGCAUGAUGCAUCAAACCAUACCAUGGUGUAGCUAGGACCGAAUCCGGUACCAGAAAUAAAGGAGUUAACCCUGCAAGACCCACAGCCCCGGACAAUGUGGCUUCCGCAGAUGACAUGAGGCCCACAUGUUACCUCGGGGAUGCUGAAGAGGACAACUCAGGAGGCUGAACGAAUCCUGCUCUGGACGCAAACACCAUUUACUCCAGAUAAUUUGUUUCUUGCUAUGUUUUCUGUUGUACACUGCAACUCAUAUAAGGUAUUAAUCCUUUUUAUGCUCUCGCUUUGUCUGUAACCUGUUCCUGCUACUACACUGUACUGGGCUCAUAUCUUAGACCCAACUUUCUUUUGCCCUGUCACCUGGGCAGACACUCCCUUCCCAGCCUAUAAUAACGUGACUGCUUGGUUAGGAGGAAUAGAUUUACCCCCAGUGAGGUCCCGCAAUAGUGGCACACAUUGGACUCAGGUGCCAGAUAACACUACAUAUCACUUCACUAUCCUCCCACUGUAUGUAAGUUAUAAAGGAUCUAACCCUUACUGUGUACCUGCCCAAAAACAAGUAUGGCUACAUCAUGGUAAAGGAAAUGCCUUAGCAUUCUUAGCUGCAGGAAGCCUCAAGCUGGGCAAUGCAAUCAAUACCACUUUCCCAAACAUUCCGUCCUGUGCUAAAGAACAAAGCCAGGAAAGUAAUGGAUUCCACUUUAGCUGGGAGGUCUGUCACGGGAGACAAGCCCAUAGCCUGCAGUUAGGCAAUUAUAACAUCUUCGACUGGAGCCCCCAUGGCCGAUUGUAGGGCAGCCUUACUAAUGUCUUCAUCCAUCAUAGCAUCAAUCACAGUUUCAUAGCCACGUCUCGUUCCCCUAUAAUUUGGGCCGAUGGGGGGAUGGGAUAUCCCAGACCUUAAGUGAAGUCCAUGCCACCCCAAGGAAUCUUACGGCGCCUGGGACAUCUUAGCACCUCCCUUAACACCUGGCAUGGGACAUGUCAUAAUUCCAGUCACAACUAUACCAUAACCUUUAUUCAUAAUCACACUGAUCAGUGCCUGAUUUGCUCUACCCAUCCAUAUGUUUUCCUUAUGAGAACUAACAUUUCCAUUACACCUCAAAACUCCACGUUUGUGACCCGGGUGCAGGGACAGUCUUGGUUUGCCUCAUGUUUCACCACAAUAUAUCUAAUUUAAAAAUUACUAGUGUCAUGAUAUUAAGGAGACAAUCUGAGGCAUUCCUACUAGUCAAUCUGACACACAGUUAGCAAGGUUCCUCUGUCUUUGCCACCUUACAACGUACCUUGUCCCAUGUCAGACACAAAAGAUUCAUAGUUACACUUAUGGCUUUUAUAGUUUCAGUCAUAGUCAUCCUGGCAACUGCUCGCGUUGCUGUUGCAUCUAUUACUGAGUCACUAUAAACAGCUGCCUUUGUAGAUAAUCUGGCCAAAAAUGUGUCUAAUGAACUUCUCUUACAGCAAGGUAUAGAUCAAAAAAUUCUUGCACGUGUGCAAGCCCACGAGGCUGCUUUAGAAUAUGGGGGGGGGUGCGACAAGAUGCACUGGCAUUCCGACAGCAAUUAAACUCUGACUGGGAGCA
This is a long non-coding RNA of Macaca mulatta (Rhesus monkey), 1770 nucleotides long. The record is from Ensembl. NCBI's taxonomy places the organism in Eukaryota, Metazoa, Chordata, Mammalia, Primates, Cercopithecidae.